This 459-nucleotide ribosomal RNA is filed under the name uncultured bacterium. RNAcentral describes it as "SSU rRNA". It matches the Rfam family "Bacterial small subunit ribosomal RNA", at positions 26 to 518 of the family's 1533-position model. The record is from RNAcentral.
AGAAUCAACGCUGGCGGCGUGCCUAACACAUGCAAGUCGAACGAGAAAGUGGAGCAAUCCAUGAGUAAAGUGGCGCACGGGUGAGUAACACGUGACUAACCUACCCUUGAGUGGGGGAUAACCUAGGGAAACCUGGGCUAAUACCGCAUAAUACCUUCGGGUCAAAGGAGCAAUUCGCUUAAGGAGGGGGUCGCGGCCGAUUAGUUAGUUGGCGGGGUAAUGGCCCACCAAGACUGUGAUCGAUAGCUGGUCUGAGAGGAUGAUCAGCCACAUUGGGACUGAGACACGGCCCAAACUCCUACGGGAGGCAGCAGUGGGGAAUAUUGGACAAUGGGCGCAAGCCUGAUCCAGCCAUGCCGCGUGAGUGAUGACGGCCUUAGGGUUGUAAAGCUCUUUCGCUAGGGACGAUAAUGACGGUACCUAGACAAGAAGCCCGGCUAACUUCGUGCCAGCAGCCGC